AGGGGCUUAGGAUAACCGAGACCGGGGGCCUUCAAAGCCCCUAGCGGGGGUGAAAGGCCCCCAGCCCCUG
This 70-nucleotide transfer RNA is filed under the name Xenodexia ctenolepis. Its description in RNAcentral is "tRNA-Trp". The record is from RNAcentral. Lineage: Eukaryota; Metazoa; Chordata; Actinopteri; Cyprinodontiformes; Poeciliidae.